GGCCUAUCAGCUUGUUGGUGGGGUAAUGGCCUACCAAGGCGACGACGGGUAGCCGGCCUGAGAGGGCGACCGGCCACACUGGGACUGAGACACGGCCCAGACUCCUACGGGAGGCAGCAGUGGGGAAUAUUGCACAAUGGGCGAAAGCCUGAUGCAGCGACGCCGCGUGAGGGAUGACGGCCUUCGGGUUGUAAACCUCUUUCAGCAGGGAAGAAGCGAAAGUGACGGUACCUGCAGAAGAAGCGCCGGCUAACUACGUGCCAGCAGCCGCGGUAAUACGUAGGGCGCAAGCGUUGUCCGGAAUUAUUGGGCGUAAAGAGCUCGUAGGCGGCUUGUCACGUCGGGUGUGAAAGCCCGGGGCUUAACCCCGGGUCUGCAUCCGAUACGGGCAGGCUAAGUGUGGUAGGGGAGAUCGGAAUUCCUGGUGUAGCGGUGAAAUGCGCAGAUAUCAGGAGGAACACCGGUGGCGAAGGCGGAUCUCUGGGCCAUUACUGACGCUGAGGAGCGAAAGCGUGGGGAGCGAACAGGAUUAGAUACCCUGGGUAGUCCACGCCGUAAACGUUGGGAACUAAGGUGUUGGCGACAUUCCACGUCGUCGGUGCCCGCAGCUAACGCAUUAAAGUUCCCCGCCUGGGGAGUACGG
RNAcentral lists this ribosomal RNA (643 nucleotides) under Streptomyces sp. ENT-31. Its description in RNAcentral is "bacterial SSU rRNA". It matches the Rfam family "Bacterial small subunit ribosomal RNA", at positions 235 to 885 of the family's 1533-position model. The record is from RNAcentral. Lineage: Bacteria; Bacillati; Actinomycetota; Actinomycetes; Kitasatosporales; Streptomycetaceae.